Molecule: ribosomal RNA, 253 nt
Filed under: uncultured bacterium
Lineage: Bacteria
Description: partial 16S ribosomal RNA
Rfam family: Bacterial small subunit ribosomal RNA
Source: RNAcentral
UACAGAGACUGCAAGCGUUAUUCGGAUUCACUGGGCGUAAAGGGUGCGCAGGCGGCCAAGUGUGUGAGGCGUGAAAGCCUGGGGCUUAACUCCAGAAUUGCACCUCAAACUACAUGGCUAGAGCAUUGGAGAGGGUAGCAGAAUUCACGGUGUAGCAGUGAAAUGCGUAGAUAUCUGGAGGAAUACCGGUGGCGAAGGCGGCAUCCUGGACCAUUACUGACGCUGAGGCGCGAAAGCUAGGGGAGCAAACGGG